Molecule: long non-coding RNA, 247 nt
Organism: Coccinella septempunctata (seven-spotted ladybird)
Lineage: Eukaryota; Metazoa; Arthropoda; Insecta; Coleoptera; Coccinellidae
Exons: 2
Source: RefSeq, a predicted model, not a curated record
UACGAAUAUUUUCUUGUUCUGUGGUCUCAAGAGAUACGAAAAAAAUUCGAAAUUUUGAUUCAAAAGAAUUUCAAGUUUAGUUGACCGUCUCAUCAGUAACAGAAAUUAAGUCUUAUUCAAAAAACAGCAAAAGGGAUGCUUAUAUUCACAUAUGAAUCAUUCUGAACAGGUUGCAACUUCUAACCGUCUAUAUUGUGGAAGAAUUCUAAAAUAGACACUGGAGAGGCGUUUAUUUCACUAUUAAAAC